GGCUCGGUAACUUAGUUGGUAAAGCGCUCGUCUAGCAUACAAGAGUCCUGGGUUCAAAUCCUAGCCGAGCA
RNAcentral lists this transfer RNA (71 nucleotides) under Aedes aegypti (yellow fever mosquito). RNAcentral's name for it is "partial tRNA-OTHER". It matches the Rfam family "tRNA". From Rfam's summary of the family: Transfer RNA (tRNA) molecules are approximately 80 nucleotides in length. Lineage: Eukaryota; Metazoa; Arthropoda; Insecta; Diptera; Culicidae. The record is from RNAcentral.